GCCUGAUUGGCUCAAUUGGUGGAGCAUUAGAUUUUUGAUCUCGGGGUUGUGAGUUCAAGUCCCACAUUGGAUU
RNAcentral lists this transfer RNA (73 nucleotides) under Canis lupus familiaris (dog). It matches the Rfam family "tRNA". From Rfam's summary of the family: Transfer RNA (tRNA) molecules are approximately 80 nucleotides in length. Their secondary structure includes four short double-helical elements and three loops (D, anti-codon, and T loops). RNAcentral also lists the same sequence under 1 other name. The record is from Rfam by way of RNAcentral. Lineage: Eukaryota; Metazoa; Chordata; Mammalia; Carnivora; Canidae.